AGUGGCGGAGUGGGUGGAGUAACGACGUGGAGAACCUGCCCUUAUCAGGGGAUAACAACUGGAAACGGUUGACAAUACCGCAUACGCUCUGUUUACCGCAUGGUAUACAGAGGAAAGAUUAUAUCGGAUAAGGAUGGCUCCGCGUCGGAUUAGCCAGUUGGCGGGGUAACGGCCCACCCAAAGCGACGAUCCGUAGCCGGCCUGAGAGGGCGACCGGCCACAUUGGGACUGAGACACGGCCCAGACUCCUACGGGAGGCAGCAGUGGGGGAUAUUGCACAAUGGGGGGAACCCUGAAUGCAGCGACGCCGCGUGGAGGAGGAAGUAUUUCGGUAUGUAAACUCCUAUCAGCAGGGAAGAAAAUGACGGUACCUGACUAAGAAGCCCCGGCUAACUACGUGCCAGCAGCCGC
Molecule: ribosomal RNA, 411 nt
Filed under: uncultured bacterium
Lineage: Bacteria
Description: bacterial SSU rRNA
Rfam family: Bacterial small subunit ribosomal RNA
Source: RNAcentral